Sander lucioperca (pikeperch) is the source of this 235-nucleotide long non-coding RNA. RefSeq lists it as uncharacterized. The transcript has 3 exons. Lineage: Eukaryota; Metazoa; Chordata; Actinopteri; Perciformes; Percidae. The record is from RefSeq and is a predicted model, not a curated record.
UUAAAUCAAGAUCAUAGCGUCUUCUUUAUUUAACAGCUGGCCACCGGUGGCAGCACUGAGCCAAAAACUAAUCCUGCACGGCCUUUGAUUUCAUGUGACUUGUAUUGACUUUAAAAAGCCCCUGUCUUGGUCUGGGUAAAUCAGGAUUUGAUUUAUUACUUAUAUUCCAUCUGAUAAGCAGCUGAGAAGACUGUCAUGCGGCCGCAGUAGAAAGUGACCAACUACAAUAAAAAAA